RNAcentral lists this long non-coding RNA (300 nucleotides) under Betta splendens (Siamese fighting fish). RNAcentral's name for it is "lncRNA (ENSBSLG00000018805.1)". The record is from RNAcentral. Lineage: Eukaryota; Metazoa; Chordata; Actinopteri; Anabantiformes; Osphronemidae.
GUCUGGGAUGCUGCACUUUCUCCGUUUUCCAGGCCGAAUGAAAGGGACAGGACGCCGCAACAUAUUAGUGACGAGAAAAAAAACUCAGGAAGGAAAAGAGAAGGCCACAAAGAUGAGGAGAAAAGCUUGAGGUUACGAGAACGUGUUAAUAGUUGCACCUCAGCGGUUUCAUCCGUCGUCGAUGGGCCUGGAGCAAAGUGAGUCACCGGGACUGACUGACGCCUCGCUCUCCGAUGGGUGAAAGACGAAGCAUCAGGCGAUAUGUCCGAUAUAUGAUCCGUAUUAUUCACCAUAUGUUAC